RNAcentral lists this long non-coding RNA (826 nucleotides) under Homo sapiens (human). Its description in RNAcentral is "HSALNT0282408". The stretch from base 497 to 600 matches the Rfam family "Small nucleolar RNA U13". The record is from RNAcentral. Lineage: Eukaryota; Metazoa; Chordata; Mammalia; Primates; Hominidae.
UCCUGCCUCAGCCUCCAGAGUAGCUGGGAUUACAGGUGCCUGCCACCCACACCUGGCUAAUUUUUACAUUUUUAGUAGAGACAGGGUUUCACCAUGUUGGCCAGGCUGGUCUCAAACUCUUGACCUCAAGUGAUUUGCUCGCCUCGGCCUCCCAGUGUUGGGAUUACAGGUGUGAGCCACUGUGCCCGGCCUCCCCAGUUUUCCAGAGUUUUGGCAAGCAAGUCUAAGACCAGACUGGCUGGACGUGUCUUUACUCUAAAAGCAUGCUAUAGAAAGAAUACUUUCUGAUGGGCGGGUGCGGGGUUCCACCCUCUUAGAGCUCCCUGAGAUGGCCUGCAUUCCUAAGUCCCUAUUAAAUAUUCCUUUCUGAGAACUGGGUUUGUCAGCCUUAUUCUUCUGCCUUUCAGUUCCCUUGGCCUUUAGGGGUGGGUUUGCGUAUACCAGCUACUGUGGAACAUUUGCUGAGCCAGGCAGGAGCUGAAGAACUAAGAAAUUGAUCCUUUUGUAGUUCCUAAGCAUGAUGAUUGGGUGUUCAUGUGCUUAUGUGAGAUGUGCCUUUCUCAAACCUUGUUAUGACAUCAGCACAUUAUUCAUCUGAUAUGAAAAAAAAAAAAAGAAAUGGGUAAGGGGAAUGAAGCAUCUGUGCGUGAAACUCCAGGGUGGCCAGCAACAUCUAUGUGGGGUGGUGUGACACCUCUGUUAGAUGCUUGUGGACCUCCGCAUGAGUAAUGGGACAUCCCGAAAACUCAAAAGGAGUUAUUAACUGAAAGCCAUAUAGUGCACUGCGAUAGGGAAGGGUGGUGGAUAACCUAUCCAGUGGGCUGGC